AUACUUUCUGUAAAAGAGUUUGAUGACGAAGUUUAUGCGGAUCAAUGGCAGAACCAACUCCUUUGUAGCAAAUCAUUUAUCCGAGUCUCUACAAUGCUUGGCUAGCACAUUAAGACGUUGGAGAAGUGGCCAACCUUCAGAAUCCUGGGAGGCUCAUAAGGCAGCAAUCCAAGCACUCAUAAAGCUGCCUUCAGGCGAGCUUGUUACAGGUUCAAGUGAUACAACUUUAAAACUUUGGAGAGGAAGCAAAUGUACACAUACUUUUGUUGGGCAUACAGGUAUUUUUUCCAUUUAUUUGC
Long non-coding RNA from Quercus lobata, 299 nucleotides. RefSeq lists it as uncharacterized. The transcript is spliced from 3 exons. Lineage: Eukaryota; Viridiplantae; Streptophyta; Magnoliopsida; Fagales; Fagaceae. The record is from RefSeq and is a predicted model, not a curated record.